Molecule: unclassified non-coding RNA, 3954 nt
Filed under: Hevea brasiliensis (rubber tree)
Lineage: Eukaryota; Viridiplantae; Streptophyta; Magnoliopsida; Malpighiales; Euphorbiaceae
Source: RNAcentral
CACUCAACAGAAGAAAAAGGGGCAAGGCUCGUUUCUGCAACUCCAAGCCUCCCCCCUCAGGUCUCCCAAAUGCCUUAAAAUUCCCAAUCCCGCCCCAAACACUUACCACUUGCUCGACGAAAUUCCUCAACCAAAAUCAAGCUAACCAUGGAGUCGAGCAUUUUGGAAUCCAUCGGAGUCGAGAUAAUAGGCGUGAUGUCUCCAGUUUCAAUUUGUAUGUUUUUGGUUGUUCUCAUUGUCUAUUCCCUCUCCCCAUCAAACCCUUUUUUGGUCGCUUCCUCAGCCCCGACGAUCCGCACCGCUGCCAACCUCGUCUACCUCGAGAGCCCUUCCGAUUCCGCUGCCCAGAAGCUGGAAGGCGCGCUACUCAAUGCGCUGGUGUUUGUUAUUCUCAUUGCCGUCUCUACUUUUCUUCUGGUUCUCUUAUACUAUUAUAAUUUUACAAACUUCUUGAAGAAUUACAUGCGCUUCUCGGCCUUUUUCGUGUUAGGUACAUUUCCUAAUUCACCUAUUUUUUGUAGCCCGCUAGCGUAAAUUGUUAUUUAAUUUUACAUAUGUUGCUUUUAGAAUUUUCUGUUCUGGAUUUCUUAUAGUUUUUUUGGCACAUUUUCUGAUGAUCAUUGAGCCGUUGACUGUAUUUUGUAGCUUUCUAAUUUUAGUGUUGCAUGUCUGUGUGUGCGUCAUUGAUUUACCUGCCAUUCGUUUAUGUAGUUCUGAUGCCUUCUGAUUUUCUUGAUCCGGGAUAUGUGAUUUUUGGGUCGGGUGCGUGGUCUGAUAUUUGCUUUGAUUAUUCUGAUUUUUUUGAGUAAAUAUUAUACUGCUACUGAAUUUCAUUUUCUUUGGUUUUGUUAUGACGUUAAACUGCAUGUGGUGUGGUUUUGCCUGAAAGACAUUAGCUCCAAGUCCCACUUUCUGUUGCUUCAUGACUUGCUUGACUAGGCUUAAUUUGUUCUUGGACUGAUGAUGGGCAUUUUCAUCUUAUUACUCCUUAUGGAGCCGUUUUCAUGACAAUUGAAUUAUAUAUUUUCGGGUUCUGCUGUCUUAUCCAAUUCAUGGCUGUAGGAACCUUUUUUUAAUGUUAGCUUGAUACUCUGGUCUGAUUGUCUUAUGCUAAUUCUGCCUUUUGCAUGCUCAUCGACUCAAUUUUGUGUAUGCUGUUGUUUUUUAGUACAUUUCAAUUGUGUAUAUGUUGUUGUUGGUUUAUAUGUGUGUGUAUCUGGCUAAUUUCAGUGUGCAUGGGCUUCAAUACAAGUUUCUGUUACUUCUACUUUCAUUGUUGGAUUUUUUGAGUAUUAUUUUACAAUUGGUGGUCAUUGUUUAGCAUUACUUUUAUGUUCAUUUUAACUUAGUCCUCUUGUUCUUUCCUAGGUACAAUGGGGGGCUCAAUUUUUUUGUCAUUGAUUCAGCAUUUCUCAAUUCCUGUUGAUUCAAUUACUUGUAUUAUUCUGUUAUUUAAUUUUACAAUUGUGGGUGUAUUAUCGGUGUUUGCGGGUGGGAUACCUAUUUUUCUUAGGCAAGGAUAUAUGGUAGCUUUAGGGAUAUUCGUGGCAGUUUGGUUUACCAAGUUACCAGAGUGGACUACAUGGGUUCUGCUGGUGGCAUUGGCAGUAUAUGAUUUGGUGGCAGUUUUGGCACCUGGUGGGCCACUUAAGCUGCUGGUGGAGUUGGCUCAGACUCGAGAUGAGGAACUUCCUGCACUGGUUUAUGAGGCUCGGCCAGCAGUUUCACAAAAUAUGAAUAAUCAUGGUCGGAGUUUGGACCUUUUGAUUGGUGGAGUUUCAGAUUCAGGGUUGGUGGAAAUGCAAGCAAUGUCAGAUCACAAUGUGAAUCGAAAUGAGAGUGAAAAUUUUGUGAACUCUGAAUAUUCUGCCAUUCCGGUGAGGAAUUUUGGGAAUAUGGAAGGUGUAGGAAAUAGAGAUGAUACAGAGAGGUCCCCAUUAGUUGGUUUUUCUCGGGGAAGGCAUUCUUCAAGUAGUGAAUCAUCGGAGUAUUCAACUGUGGUUGGUAAUCAGGGUUCUGAAACUGUUGUGGAUGAGGAAAGGUCUCCUCUUGUUGAUACACUGGGAUUGGGGAAUGGGAGGGAGCAGGUAAGAAGGGAUGCUUCUGAAAAUCCCAUGGUUGCCAUUAGAGGUAUAAAACUUGGUCUUGGAGAUUUUAUUUUCUACAGUGUUCUUGUGGGCAGGGCUGCAAUGUAUGAUCUUAUGACAGUAUAUGCAUGCUACCUUGCAAUUGUUUCGGGACUUGGCUGCACUCUGAUUUUGUUGUCAGUGUGCCGCCAAGCUUUACCAGCUCUCCCUAUUUCAAUAGCACUGGGUGUUGUCUUUUACUUCUUGACUCGUUUAUUGAUGGAACCUUUUAUUGUUGGGAUGGCAACAAAUCUGAUGAUGUUUUGAUCCUCUGUUAGUUGUAAGAGAGAGGAGGACAUUUUUAUGCUGUUAAAAGAAAUACUGAUGUCCUCAGAUGCAAAUUUUGUCUACGUUAUGGUUAGUAUUACUUACCAAAUAUCCUCUCACGUGCUCAUACAAGUUUCUCACGGUCAAAUUCUGUAAUUCGCUAAUGUAACAAUGUGAAGAUAAUCCUAGUGCAACUUGACUGCCCUCUUGGGUUUAGCUUUAUAGAAUUUCGAGCAUCUCGUGCUGAAGCAUAUUUCGAAUGCUUUGUUUGCAUACUUUCUUAUCGUGUUGAGAUGUUGAAAAAUACAAAUGUGGAAUUACAUUUUACAAAUUUCGAAUACCGUGCACCGUGUGUGGUCACAAACAGAUAUGCAGUUGUGUUUGCUUCUGUUAGUGCUCUAAACUGCUGUCAUACUCUAUAAAUUUGAUUUUAAGAUAUGUUUGUAUAGAUGAGAAUUUGAAAUGAAGGGUAGUUUGAAUUUGAUGGUAGUUUUGGUGCUUAUGAUUUAUACAUUUCUUUCAUUUAGAUUUUUUUUUUGUAAUUUGUAACUGCAAUUGCAUUACCGACGCCCAAAGGGCAAAAUACAUACAUUGGGCCUAAAAGAACAUGCAUAUGUAGGAAGAAGGGCCGAAGUUCAGCUCAAAAACAAAUCAAAUACAAAGAAAAGCCUAGCCCAAAAAUCCCACCCAGCAACCCUAGGAAGAAGAUGAACCGAGUUGCUGCUCCUUUACCUUCAACAAGCUGGACCACCACAAGGAAUGGGAGUCACCAACGUCUAAGAGUCUCAAAGACCCAAGCAUUAAAGGGGCAAUAGAUCCAACCACCUCCAGUAACAGACCUCUAAACUCCUCCAACUCAGAUCAGUAUGUCUGGUAGGAGAGUGAUGUUGUAGAGCUACUUAGCAAUCUCAAUAACGUGUAGGAGAGUGAUGCUGUAGAGCUCCUCAGCAAUCUCAAUCUCAUGUAGUCUUCGGGGAUCAUCUUCAUAAACCCUGGAGACACCGACAUCAAGCAUGCUGAUUUCCCUCUCACUAGGGCAAAGGUAGUUUUUAGAUCCAAGAACUAACAAAUACAACCAAAUCUUCGCAAACUCAACUUUGUUAGAAUAUUUGAUCUUCUGCAUGUUUCUCCCAUCUUGAAGCUCCAAGAUUAACAAGCCAAAAGCCCAAACCUACACUAUCAACAACCAACUCGAGAUGGGGAGGGAAGUCGACACCCUGUCGGAGCAAAAAGAGAGCCUUCCCCUUCCCUUUUGAAAUAGAAGAGUUGAGAGCAAAUUCUCUUCCUAGAAUUCUAGAGAGAAAUAGAUUAGAUGGUUCUCCCUUUACUGGUUAGAUUAUCUCAAAAUUUGGAAGCUUGUAUAGAUGCAUAGAUUCUUUGCAAUGUGUUGUCCUUGUUUGAUUGUGUACUAGAAUUUAUGGGUGGCUAUAAUAAUGAUAAGCAAACUCUUGCUUCUUGUUUAUAUUAUUAGUUUGUUGCUUGUAAUUUUAUAAUGGUGCAGUGGAUGGAACAUUUCUGCAAGCCAAAAAGGGUCUUCUGUUUUCACAUUGUUUGGAAUGGU